RNAcentral lists this ribosomal RNA (202 nucleotides) under uncultured bacterium. Its description in RNAcentral is "partial 16S ribosomal RNA". It matches the Rfam family "Bacterial small subunit ribosomal RNA", at positions 328 to 538 of the family's 1533-position model. The record is from RNAcentral.
ACGCUCGACACCUACGGGGGGCAGCAGUGGGGAAUAUUGCACAAUGGGGGAAACCCUGAUGCAGCGACGCCGCGUGAAGGAAGAAGUAUUUCGGUAUGUAAACUUCUAUCAGCAGGGAAGAAAAUGACGGUACCUGACUAAGAAGCCCCGGCUAACUACGUGCCAGCACGCCGGCGGUAAUCUGAGGCGGGCUGGACAAGGC